RNAcentral lists this non-coding RNA (46 nucleotides) under Schistosoma mansoni. The record is from RNAcentral. Lineage: Eukaryota; Metazoa; Platyhelminthes; Trematoda; Strigeidida; Schistosomatidae.
AUCCAGCUGACGAGUCCCAAAAUAGGACGAAACUCGCGUCCUGGAU